CACAAGCGGAGGAGCAUGUGGUUUAAUUCGAUGAUACGCGAGGAACCUUACCUGGGCUCGAACGUAAGAUGACUGUAGGUGAAAGCUUACAUCUCUUCGGAGCAUUUUACGAGGUGCUGCAUGGUUGUCGUCAGCUCGUGCCGUGAGGUGUCGGGUUAAGUCCCAUAACGAGCGCAACCCUACCUUUAGUUGCCAUCAGGUAAUGCUGGGGACUCUAAAGGAACUGCCUACGCAAGUAGUGAGGAAGCGGGGAUGACGUCAAAUCAGCACGGCCCUUACGUCCAGGGCUACACACGUGCUACAAUGGCCGAUACAGAGGGCAGCUACCUGGUGACAGGAUGCAAAUCUCCAAAGUCGGUCUCAGUUCGGAUCGGAGUCUGCAACCCGACUCCGUGAAGUUGGAUUCGCUAGUAAUCGCGCAUCAGCCAUGGCGCGGUGAAUACGUUCCCGGGCCUU
Molecule: ribosomal RNA, 456 nt
Filed under: uncultured Sphingobacteriales bacterium
Lineage: Bacteria; Pseudomonadati; Bacteroidota; Sphingobacteriia; Sphingobacteriales
Description: bacterial SSU rRNA
Rfam family: Bacterial small subunit ribosomal RNA
Source: RNAcentral